Molecule: ribosomal RNA, 589 nt
Filed under: Dibrachichthys melanurus
Lineage: Eukaryota; Metazoa; Chordata; Actinopteri; Lophiiformes; Tetrabrachiidae
Description: partial 16S ribosomal RNA
Rfam family: Bacterial large subunit ribosomal RNA
Source: RNAcentral
AAAAACAUCGCCUCUUGUCAUUUGUAAAUAAGAGGUCUUACCUGCCCUGUGACUUAUGUUUAACGGCCGCGGUACUCUGACCGUGCAAAGGUAGCGCAAUCACUUGUCUUUUAAAUAGAGACUAGUAUGAAUGGUUUGACGAGGGCUUGACUGUCUCCUUUUCUUAAUCAGUGAAAUUGAUCUUCCCGUGCAGAAGCGGGGGUGGUUUUAUAAGACGAGAAGACCCUGUGGAGUUUUAAUCAUGUAAUAGCUCUUAUAAGUAGGCUUUUAAAGAAGUAAACUAGUGAGGUCCUGUUUUUGUGAUUUUGGUUGGGGCGACUGUGGGGAAUAAAAAACCCCCGUGUGGUAUAGGAGUAUGACUCCUUAAGGUUAGGGUGGUGACCCUAAAUAUCAGAACAUCUGACUUUUUAGAUCCGGCAAAGCCGAUUAACAAAAUAAAUUACCCCAGGGAUAACAGCGCAAUCUCCUCCGAGAGUCCUUAUCGAAAAGGGGGUUUACGACCUCGAUGUUGGAUCAGGACAUCCUAAUGGUGUAGGUACUAUUAAGGGUUCGUUUGUUCAACGAUUAAAGUCCUACGUGAUCUGAGUUC